GAGGAGCUGUGCAGGUCUGGGAUCUGUCCUCACCAAAGCAUCUUCAAAGCUGAAAAAUCUAGACCUCAGUGUCAACAGUAUUGGAGAUAAUGGUGUCCAAAAAUUGUGUAGUGGACUGGGUAACCCAAACUGUGCACUGGAGACACUCGGGCUCUCUGACUGCAGUAUCACUGAGAGAAGCUGUGCAGGUCUGGCAUCUGUCCUCACCAAAGCGUCUUCAAAGCUGAAAAAUCUGGACCUCAAUGACAACAGUAUUGGAGAUAUUGGUGUCCAAGAGCUGUGUAGUGGACUGGGUAACCCAAACUGUGCACUGGAGACACUCGGGCUCUCUGACUGCAGUAUCACAGACAAAGGCUAUGCUAGUCUGGCUUCAGCCCUGAGGUUAAAUCCCAAAUACCUCAGAGAGCUUGAUCUCAGAGGAAAUGAUCCAGGGAAAUCUGGAGUCAAACUGCUUUCAGAC
This is a long non-coding RNA of Sardina pilchardus (European sardine), 460 nucleotides long. RefSeq lists it as uncharacterized. Lineage: Eukaryota; Metazoa; Chordata; Actinopteri; Clupeiformes; Clupeidae. The record is from RefSeq and is a predicted model, not a curated record. The transcript is spliced from 3 exons.